AGUCAUUGUCGCGCUGUCUACACAACUGGCAGAUGCAACGGGAGGAAUUAUAACGACAUCGUAACGGAUUUUUGAUAAGAACAAGACCUUCUACAAUGGUGUGUGUCUGUCCUUUACGUGCCCUUUUAACUAAAUAAAUCGCGUUUCCCGUGGAAAGUUGUUCACUUUCUAUUGGAAAUAUUCGCUGGUAUGUCGCAUUACUUAUUUAGGUAUGUCCUCCGAUGUGACAGAUAAUAAGCAAGCGAUUGAGAAAAUUAGUAAAAUACGCAAAACUUCAUUUCAUUAUAUGGCGACCACUGGCUGGCAACUCGCCAGCUUCUCGUCGCCAUCGCUACAGCCAGCAAAGGUCCGCCAUACGUAUACUCGCUAAUGGCUCACUUUAUAUGCCCCCUUCGAGGCGAGAGAGUUCCGUCAAGACGUCCAUUGAUCGGUGUACUAUUCUGUGGCUAGCAAUGCAGCGGGUACAAUCGUUUCGGGUGUUGCUGUGGUCAAAGCAGUUGCUGAACAACGCUAUGAGCCGGAUUGAAUUUUGCAUUUUUAUUGGUAGCAAUGUACUAAUUAAAUGCAAUAUACACUUGUUUGUUAAGGAGUAUGGAACGGUAACAUCAUGGCGCCAGGAACCGAAUUUCAAUAUAUUAUAUAUCCAUCGAUAGAAGUAGAUGCCAAAAUCAUAUGCUGCCGACCGGCGAACUUCUAGUGUACAACAUCACACGCACCGAUGCGACCCAAGUUUAUCGCUGCCGCAGCCAUCACAAGCUGACGCAGGUCUCCCUUGCUAGCAGCAUAUGUGCAAAAUUCAAUUGACUUGUAAGUUAACUACCGCAACAAUAAUACUAACAACAAAUAGUGGCUAUGCAGCAUCGCAAAAGCCAUGCACGCUUGACCCCACCACACGUCAUUAGUUUGUUGUUCGCCAAAAGUAUAUUUUCUACUCGCAUGUUCUAGUAUAAUGCGUUUGGGAAAAGAAGCAAGAAGCUAAUGCCAAAAAUCUCUAAAUUAUCUAGUGAAAGAAGUCAAAAUUAUAUAAAUUAUUGAUAUAAAAAACCUUAUUUAUUUUAAAAUUUUGAACUACUUACUUGCCUUUGAGUUAAUAAAAAUGUUCCUUUAUCUUACCGUUUUGUCAAAUAUUAUUGCAUCUAUGUAUAUACAGUGUUGUAUAAAUUAGUAUUAUUUUUUUGAGAUUUUGGAAAAUCCGGUUGAAUGUAAGUCACACAUUAAGGUUUUGCCUUCAAGUCUGGCACAUCGAUCGCUUCGUGUAUAUAUGAGGGUUCUUAUAGCUACACCUAGUAAAGGACACACCUUCUAAAGGACCGGUGUUAUAAUGUUUGAAAGGUAUCCUCGUAAUCUUUUUCGAGGAAUAAUUUUCGAAACCAAUCUAGAUGCUUCGUUACAUAAUCUGGUGGUAAUUAUAUUAACUAAUUGAAAUACGUGUGAUGCUAGAAGAGAGUUCGCCCUUAGCCUAUCUGUUAUUCCUCUAGAAUCUAUUUACAAGUCUUUUAAUGCCGCUUACAUUAAAAAAUUCUGAUGUGUGCGACCACUGAGGUACUUGGAGUUGAAUUUUUGAAAUCAGAAAUCAGUUUUUUUUGGGAAAAGUAUUUUAUAAGUUAUAAUGUACCCCUUUAAAUGUUAAAUAUAUAUAUCUGAAACAAAAUAUUCAGCAAAAAACUUAACAGCAAUCCACAGUUUGACUCUGGAUCUCUAAAAAUUCCUCAUAUUUUCCUUGUAAUUAGAAAAAAAAGAAAGUUCUAUUUGAGACUUUCCACCACAAAACUAAUUUUGACAAUGACUUGACAAAAAUCUUGUCGAAGAUUAUGCUGAGCCCUAAUACAGCAGACAAAGGUGUAUCAUUCUACAUGAUAUCUAUAGUAAUUAAUAAAGCCGGGGAUUUUGAUGGAGCAUGGGAGGAGCAUCUGUCGAGGUAAGAGAUUUACAAAAUAGAUGAAACGAUUUUUUUUUUACCUGGGCCUCUUUUGUGUUCUUUCAGCUGGGGUCUUUAAAAAACUCUACCUAAUUGUUGUUGUUGUUGGUAGGAAAUGCAUAUGUAAUUGCCGUUAGUGAAUUUUAAUUUAGUUUCAUUUGCACUGAUUUCUUGCAGAAUCUGGUCUAUCGGACCUAGAUUUUCUGGUAUGAAAAUAUUAAAACUAUAACAAAGCUGGAAUUAAAUAAUAAUUCGUUUUUACUUAAAAAUUUAUAAUUUUAGUUAUUUUUCUGUUAUAGUUGUCCGUCUUUCGUUCGGUUAACGGUUAACUCAGUUUUAGUAAUCUAAUAAAAUAAUUGUACUUAAAUCAUAGUUUUAAUGUUUCUUAGUCAACUGUCUUCAAAGCAAUACCAUGUACAGAUUUGCUUUAUAAAUGCAGGCUUUGGUAUUCCUAAUUUACGCCUUCACAAGAUUUCAAUCUUGUACUGAGUUCUCUUUCAUUAAUAACAAUCCAACUAAAAUAUCUUUUUAACAUUUAGCUAAUCAGCUCUCAUUCAACAAACACGACGUUCAUUCAACAAUUGUGCCUGAUGGAGCCCCAACAAGUAACCUCAAAUAAGUAUAUCUGAUGAAAGAAAAGACUAACUCCGGCUAUCUGCGGACAUCUGAAACUACAAAGAUAUACCUAUGCAAAGAGAUUGAGCCACAACUAAUCUACAAAUUUAUUAUGAACCAGGACCAUUACUCUUGCUGAAGUACAGCGCCAGUGACAAUCCAACACCGAAAAUUGGCUGGCACAUGGACGGACUUCCGUUACCAAAUAACGGUCGUCUCAUGAUUGACCAAUAUUUCGAAAUGUUUGGCGAUGUUAUAAGCCAUGUCAACAUGCAUAUCUGCGGUGAAGUCAAAGGAUGGCAGUGAAUACAAGUGCAAAGCAAUAUCGCGAGAAGGUGAUCCAUCGCAUUUGGUACGUUUGAACUUCUACGGUUAGUGGAGCUAAUAGGAUGUGCUUAACUACCGGAAUAUUUCGUCUGGAAUGAACAUCGUGACAGGUAUGCCAUAUGUGCGCAUGAUGCCGGAACUAUCUGCAGUAGCGGAAAAAAACUUAUUUUCAAUUGUCCUGCGGCAGGAUAUCCAAUCGUCAGCAUCAUCAUAGAGAAAGCUAUAAAAUGAAAUGGGAUUUUGUUCCCAGAGCUGCUAUCCGACACGAAGAUCAUGGUGUGUGGAGGAAUUUAGAAGAAGUGGCGAUCUCAUCCACUAAAUAAACGGAAGACGACAAUUUCAGACAAUCACCACACCACACAUGGCCCUAAAUACAGGAACUGUGGACUUUUAAUUGUCCGUGGAGUGGCAAUGAGAUUGGUGUGCGAAAUUCACAUAAAUGAAAUAUCUUUAUGCUGAAGUUGGAAGUUUUUACUUUGCUAAGAAAGCUGACUACUGAGUUCAACUCUCUGCUAAUGAACUAUCUAAGUUCUUUGCUAAAACCUAUAAGAAGAAAGUAAAAAAUUGUAACGGUUUGUAACGCUUAUAAUAAAAAUAAAUAAAAUGUAUAAACUAAA
Bactrocera oleae (olive fruit fly) is the source of this 3477-nucleotide non-coding RNA. The record is from RefSeq and is a predicted model, not a curated record. Lineage: Eukaryota; Metazoa; Arthropoda; Insecta; Diptera; Tephritidae.